GAUGGCGAGAGUGUAAACAUCGGAGGGAAUUCCAAGAGAAUCCAUUUGCUUAGAAAGAGAAAGCACAGUGGAGUAGUGUUUCAUGUUAGCGAUGGAGGUUAAAAUUUUGGCGAAAUCAACAACUGAGGGUGGAGGUUGCAUAUGAAGCAUUCGAUUAAAGGAAGAGAGGGCUUCAUCAAUCGUAUUAAAAUUCAGGGAUUUGGAAUGGAAGCUGCUACUAUGUGAUGAAGACAAUAAUUGAAGAGGAAGAGAAAGCAUCCAUGUACCGGAAGCAGGAGAAGAAGAAAGCUUUGUCAUCAGCAUCUUCAUCUCCAUCUCCAUCUCCAUCAUCAUCUUCAUCAUCGUGCAGCUUCAGCUUUACUCCUAACAUCACAACAUUUCGAUUUCACGUACUCUGCACUUUGGGUUUCGAGAGGAAGAUUAAUCUUGAGAAUUAAUUUCUCCUUUGGGUUCAGUCUCCGUCUAGAAUGUGGAGAGAGAGGAUUUUAUUAUUUUUAUAUUUUUAUAUUUGGGACGCUUAAGUAGUUAAGUGGCAGAGCAGACGGCAUAUGUAGUUUGAUAUUGUGGUCAAGCUUUCUCUUUUCAAAUGAAUGAUGUGGGCAUAAGGGUCUCCAAAAAGCCCGCGGCCCGCUUUAGGCCCGGCCUGGCCCAAGCCCGGUCCGAGCCCGUUUAUGGGCGGGCCGGGCCGAGGGCCUAAUUUUAGGCCCGGCCCGUCCCUUUAAAAAAAAACUACAAAAAUAAAAAGUAUUAAAAAAAAUAUACUUUAUUUUUAUAUAUAUAUAUAACUAACUCAUUUAAUAAGCACAAAAGGAAUGUAGCUCAGUUGGUUAGAGCCUUGAAAUUUAAGUUUGAGGGGAGGGGUCCAAAUCCCCCCCUCUCUCUUCCUUUAUUUAAAAGCCAUUUUGGCUUAUUUAAAAAAGCCCGCGGCCCGGCCCGGCCCGGCCCGUUGACCAGUCAACGGGCCCAUAGGCCCGGCCUGAGCUGGGCCGCGGGCCUCCUAUUUACGGCCCGGCCCGGCCCGGCCCGCCUGUUGGAGACCCUUAUGUGGGCAUGUGGGCUUGAAUUUCACAUCUGAGCCUGCCCAUUGACUGGUCAAUGGACUUCUCAGCCCAUUCACACAUAAGCGGGUUUUCAUUUUUAUUUUAUUUUAUUUUAUUUUUUAUCCAUAUGCUCCAAUACCAUUAUGUACAUAACCUAGUCCUCUUUUGUGUACUACUCCUUACAAUACCAUUAUUUAUUUUAUUAAUUAAUUAAUUAAUAAAUAAAAGAAAGAAAAAUUUGUUGAUGUCUAGUACAAUAUUGACCAUUGACCUAGUCAAUUACUUGCCCCACAAAUUUAAAAUUUCCAAAGGUUCAUGAACCCUCCAAAUGAAAAGGAAUCUUGUUUCCAACCACAAUUCAGGGAAAAUAUCUAACCUAAGCCCACCAUGGGGAUCCAUUCCCUGAUUUUCUAUAAAGAUUGCAAUCUCACAAACCAGCCAUUUGAUAUAAUGUAGAUGAAAAUAUUUUUUAUUUUUUAUUUUUUUUUAAGUUUGUUAAAAAAAGCUAGGAAAGUUUGAGAGAAGUAUAUUCUUAAAAAUUUAAUUUUCUUAUAGAGAAAAAAAUUAUGAUUUUCUUUAUUUUCUUAUCAUGAUUUUUUUUUCUUAAAUUUUAUAGGAAUUAAACUUAUGGGUGUUGUGUGGGAUCCUCCCCAAAAAGUGCCACGUGGCUCCCUCUCCCUUGGACACGCAGACCACCCCCCUUGCGACGCGUGACAUAGUUCAUUCCACCCGGGUAGGAAUUUUGUCCGGCCGACUUUCCACCAUCUCCGGAUAUCUCACAGUCGUAAUUCUGUCAGGACCAGCAUUCCACCAUCUCCGAAUAUACCACAUUCGACGCCUGUCACCGGAUGGGAGAGGAGGACGAUUCAACUUCCCCGGGCAGACAUGUCCGGAUCCGAAUGAGCUUGUCGUCGGAUGGGAGAGGUCGACGAUUCAGCUUCCCCGGACAGACAUGUCCGGAUCCUCCGGUAACGCUUACUUGGAGAAUAUCCGUAGCCGACGAUUCAGCUUCCUCGGACAAACAUGUCCGAAUCCUCUGGUAACGCUUACCCGGACAGCUUCCCCGGAUAGUUUGGCUCGUUAGAUACUCGCGAUUCGCUGGAUCCAUUUCCGCCCACAAUCAAAAAGCAAACUCUAACAAUACUGACGAUCAAGUCUCUUGAACUGUCACUCAUCUUUAAUGCAAGAUACAUUUGACAAGACAUUCCCAAAUCUUCUCAAGUCGCCUGACACAUCCCCGAUAUUUAAAGUCAUAAAUUGAGGCGACAUUCGCCGCCUGAAUACCUUCCUGACAGCCGCCACCUGGCACCAGAAACGUCAUGAUUGCUUCGCCACAAUCAUGACGAUGGGACCCGCUAGCACAGCGGGGCCAUACUUUCUAACUCAUAUAUAAACUCUAAGGAGACUCUCAGGAAGGUAAGCAAAAAAGGAACAAGCAUCCUUGAAGCAAUAAGCAAUAAGUAACAAAGAAUAAGCAUCCUUGACGAAAAUCACGGAGCAACACUCCCAAAGGAAAACUCUAUUUUCCAACAACUUCCAAAAGACUAACUUAAUCAUUGGAGGGUAUGUCCGGACAACCCAUCCGGACAUCUUUUUGCAGGAGGAAGGAGAAUUCACUGUAACGCGUUGAUCGAGAUUCCGUUGCUGGUGACGACUAUUGUAGCAGGGGAAUUUUGUCAUCAACAUGUUGGGUAAACCAACUUAAUAACUUAAAAUGACUUAAUUUUAAUUAUUAAGUAAAUUAAAUAUAUUUGGUAAAAUAACUUAAUGAUAUUACUUAAAAUAAAAAAUAACUUUAAGUAAUAAAUAAAAAUAAUUAACUUAUUCUUAAAUCCACAUCUUUAUUUUAAUUUUUUAUCUUUAUUUAUUAUAAUUACCUCAAUGAUUUUUUUUGUUAUUUCAUGAUCUCUAUUGUUAUUUAACCUCCUUUGUCAUAAUUAUAAUUUAUGAAGAUAAAUAUAUCAAUUUUUAGAUUUAAAAUAAUUUUUAUCAAACAAUCUUUAUACUUAAAGUAAAAAUUAAAUAAUAAGUUUUAAGUAAAUAACUUAAAUAUAAUUUAACUAAAAAUAAAUUUAAGGCAUUAAGUAAUAAGUAUUAAGUUUUACUAAACACCCCAUAUAUAUUAGAAUAUCACAUCUCAUUAAAUAAAAAAUGCACAUUUCUUAAGUGAUAUGAUAUAUUUGGAUGUUAUUAUAUAUAUAUAAUGUUACGUUUAUAUUUAGCUAUAAUGCCUACUGACAUUUGGUUGAUAGAUACGGGUGCAACUACUCACAUAAGUGUCACGAUGCAGGGUUUCCUAAGGAGCCGAAUGCCAACUGAUGGUGAAAGAUACAUCCAUGUGGGAAAUGGCAACAAGGUUGUAGUCAAGGCUAUUGGUAUUUUUAGAUUACAUUUAAACUCUGGAUGUACUUUAGAUUUGGAAGAGACUUUCGUAGUACCGUCGUUUAGACGAAAUUUAAUUUAUGUUUCAUGUCUGGACAAAUGUGGAUAUUGUUGUUCAUUUAGAAAUGGAAUGGUUAGUACAAGUAGUCUAACAGACAAAUUAUACAAAUUGAACAUAAAGGCCUCUAAUGGAAAUGAAACCUUGUAUUCAAGUAAUUAUGACAUUAAGCAAAAAUUAACAAAUGAGAAUUCAUCAAUGUUAUGGCACAAAUGUUUAGGUUAUAUUUCAAAUCAACGUAUUGAAAGGCUUGUGUCAGAAGGAAUUCUUGAACCACUUGAUUUCUCAGACUUUCAAGUCUCUAUAGAGUAUAUUAAGGGUAAACAAAUAAAUAUGAGAAAAAGGGAUGCCAAUAGGUGCGGUGACAUCUUGGAAUUCAUACAUAUGGAUGUUUGUGGUCCAUUUCCUACCCCUUUUUGGAAUGGACAACAAUAUUUUAUUACUUUCAUUGACGAUUACUCGCGUUUUGACUAUCUUUAUUUGAUUCAUGAGAAGUCUCAAUCAUUGGAUGUGUUCAAGAAUUUUAAAGUUGAAGUUGAGAACCAAUUAAGCAAGAAAAUAAAGGUCAUCAAAUUUGACCGUGGAGGUGAAUAUUAUGGUAGAUAUGAUGGAUCCGGUGAACAACGUCCAAGGCUAUUCGCUAAAUAUUUGAUGGAGUGUGGUAUCAUUCCUCAAUACACCAUGCCGGGGACUUCAAGCCAAAAUGGUGUAGCAAAGAGGUGAAACUGUACUCUUAAAGAUAUGGUAAGAAGUAUGAUCAGUCAUUCCACCUUACCAGAAUCACUUUGGGACGAAGCUGUCAAAAUUGCAGUUUACAUUUUGAAUAAAGUUCCAAGCAAAGUAGUAGCCAAAGCCCCAUAUGAGUUAUGGACUAGCAAGAAACCUAGUAUUAGGCACUUGCAUGUUUGAGGUUGUCUAGCUGAGGCUAGGCCUUACAAACCAAAUGAAAAGAAAUUGGACUUCAGAACAGUGAACUACUACUUUGUAGGGUAUUUUGAAAAGUCGAGAGGCUUCAAGUUUUAUGACCCCUCAACAAGAUCCUUCUUUGAAACGGGCAAUGCUAAGUUUGUUGAGGAUGUUGAGUUAAGUGGGAGAGAGCCAUUAAGAAAGGUGGUAUUUGAAGAAGAAUCUGUUAGUAUUCUUAUUAUUACAACUAGACAUGGUCAUAUUAUGUUUAAUGACACUAUCCAGAAUGUACAGCCAAUAACAGAGAUUGAAGACACACCUGAGAUUCCUCCUACUUAAGUUAUGGAACCAGUUCAAGUUCAUGAAGAGGUAACUCAACAACCUCAAAAACCUCAAGUACAAGUGCCAUUGAAGAGAUCCACUAGAAAAAGGAAAAGUACAAUUUCAGAUGAUUAUGUUGUAUAUCUCUAGGAACAUGAGUUUGACAUGGGUCUGGAAGACAAUCCAAUUUUAGUUAGUCAAGUUAAACAAAGUUCUGAUUUUGAAAAGUGGAUAGAAGCCAUGAAGGAUGAGAUGAAAUCAAUGAAAGACAAUGGUGUUUGAGACCUAGUAGAGUUGCCUAAAGGUGUAAAACCGAUUGGUUGUAAAUGGAUUUUUAAGACCAAGUAUGAUUCAAAAGGCAACAUUGUUAGGUAUAAGGCAUGCCUAGUCGCAAAAGGUUUCACUAAAAAAAGGGCAUUGAUUAUAAGGAGACCUUUUCACCGGUUUCGUUAAAGGACUCCUUUAGAAUCAUCAUGGCACUUGUAGCUCAUUAUGAUUUAGAGCUGCAUCAAAUGGACGUUAAAACUGCGUUUUUUAAUGGCAACAUUGAUGAGACAAUAUACAUGGUGCAACCGGAGAACUUUGAGUCUAAUGAUUCAAAGCAACUUGUAUGCAAAUUAAAAAGGUCCAUAUAUGGUUUAAAGCGGGCAUCCCGACAAUGGUACCGAAAGUUUGAUCAGGUGAUUACUUCAUUUAGUUUUAAGGAGAACACUAUUGAUCAAUGCAUAUAUCUCAAGUUUAGUGGGAGCAGAUUCAUUAUCUUGGUGCUAUAUGUUGAUGAUAUUUUACUUGCAAGUAGUGAUAUGGAACUUUUGCAUGAAACCAAGCGAUUUCUAUCCAGUAAAUUUGACAUGAAGGAUCUUGGUAAUGCAUCUUUUGUGCUGGGUAUACAGAUCUAUAGGGAUCGUUCAAGAGAUAUACUUGGGCUAUCACAAAAGUCCUACAUCGAUAAGGUGUUGAGUAGAUUUGGCAUGAGCAAUUGAGCACCAGGAGACACGUCUGUGGCAAAAGGCGAUAAAUUUAGUUUGCACCAAUGUUCGAAAAAUGAACUUGAGAAGAAGGAUAUGGAAAGGUUUCCCUAUGCCUCGGCAGUAGGAAGUCUCAUAUAUGCAUAAGUUUCUAUGCGUCUGGAUAUUGCGUACAUUGUUGGAAUGUUAGGCAGAUAUUUGAGUAACUUAGGUAUGGAUCACUGGAAAAAGGCAAAACGGGUUAUGCGGUAUUUACAAAGAACUAAAGAUUAUAUGCUCACAUUUAGAGAUUAUGGGAUAUUCGGAUUCCUAUUUCGCGGGAUGUCUUGACAGUAGGAGAUCCACUUCAGGAUACAUCUUCAUGUUGGCUAGAAGAGUAGUUUCAUGGAAAAGUGUUAAACAAACACUUAUUGCUUCUUCCACCAUGGAGGCAAAAUUCAUAGCCUGCUACGAGGCAUCAAACCAUGGGAUAUGGCUGUGGAAUUUUAUCACUCAGUUGCGGAUUGUUGAUGGAAUUGAGAAACCAUUGAGAAUCAAUUGUGAUAAUAAGACCGCAGAAUUGUAUUCUAAGAACAACCAAAGUUCGUCAAAGUCCAAACACAUUGACAUUAAGUUCUUAGUUGUAAAAGAAAGAGUUCAGAGUCUUCAAGUAUCAAUUGAACACAUAAACACAAACUCCAUGAUUGCGAAUCUGCUCACUAAGAGUUUGCCACCCAAAGUAUAUCAUGAGCAUGUUACAUAUAUGGGUGUUGUACGCAUUGAUGAUGUGCUAGUAUAGUGGGAGUUUGUAUUUAGAUUUUGUGUUUGUUUACUUAAUGUGAUAUUAUGUUUGUGUUAUUUGUAUAGAACUUGAUUUUAAAGGCUAUUGUAUUUGAAUACUCUAAAUUGAAAUGAUGACUUUCAGAAGCAGUUUAGCAUCAAGUGUUGAAAGUGGAAUUUGACUAUUUUUAGUCAUAAAGUAGGACCAAUUGGAAAGAGACAUAUUAAAGAUCACAUUCUAUGUAAUUUCCAUGCUACACAUCCAUACUUGAUCCAUGUUGCUAAUUUUGUUAAUGUUGUGAUCAUUGAUGGGUCUAGUUAUAAUUAUGAUUAAUGAAGGUCGCUUUGAUCAUGUGUUAGCAUAAUUAGUAAACCGGAUUGUUUAAGGAUAUUUGAAUAGAUGAGCUCAAUGAAGUAUUAUCAUGAACAUUGUUGGCUAAUAUAUGUGGUCCAAGUGGGAGAUUGUUAGAAUAAAUGUGGACCCAAAUCAUAUUAACCAUUGUUUAGGAUUUAACUAUCCAUAUAUAUGUGAUUUCCAUUUGAUCUAGAGUAUAGGCCACCUUAUGUGUAGAGCCCAGUGCCAUAAUGGGUCUUAAAUGAUGGGUCUAAGACUCGCGAGACCCAAUAGUCCAAAGGGUAUGGUCCCUAAGGCAUAGAGGGUAUAUAUAUAUAAGGCUAAGUGUUUGUUCUUUUUAAAUAUAUCUUUUGAAUAAGAACAAAACUCGUUCUCUCCCGCUCCCAUCGUCAGAGAGAUUACAUAAUUGGUGGAUAGCCCUCUACAUCCUUAGAAGAUUCGUAUCUCUUCAUCAAACGAAUAAUGGAUUCCGGUUGGUUCCCCGUCUAGAGAUCAAGACAUAUUUUAAUGCUUGAUAUGUUUAUAUAUAUAUCGUGUAUCUGCUUUUGAUGAUAAUGGAGAAUAAAACUCCCUACAUAUAAAGCAUUCAAUUAAAGGAAGAGAGGGCUUCAUCAAUCGUAUUAAAAUUCAGGGAUUUGGAAUGGAAGCUGUUAUUAUGUGAUGAAGACAAUAAUUGAAGAGGAAGAGAA
Molecule: long non-coding RNA, 7478 nt
Filed under: Vitis vinifera (wine grape)
Lineage: Eukaryota; Viridiplantae; Streptophyta; Magnoliopsida; Vitales; Vitaceae
Description: long non-coding RNA (VVIN_LNC000565)
Source: RNAcentral